Molecule: ribosomal RNA, 323 nt
Filed under: uncultured archaeon
Lineage: Archaea
Description: bacterial SSU rRNA
Rfam family: Archaeal small subunit ribosomal RNA
Source: RNAcentral
AGGGACACUGCCAAGCUAGAGGGUGGGUGAGGCCAGCGGUAUUCCUGGGGUAGGGGCGAAAUCCAUUGAUCCCAGGAGGACCACCAGUGGCGAAGGCUGCUGACCAGAACACGCCUGACGGUGAGGGACGAAAGCUGGGGUAGCGAAUCGGAUUAGAUACCCGAGUAGUCCCAGCCGUAAACGAUGCAGGCUAGGUGUUGGGAUGGCCACGCGCCGCCCCAGUGCCACAGGGAAGCCAUUAAGCCUGCCGCCUGGGGAGUACGGCCGCAAGGCUGAAACUUAAAGGAAUUGGCGGGGGAGCACCACCAGGCGUGAAGCCUGCG